Molecule: transfer RNA, 73 nt
Filed under: Methanocella sp. PtaU1.Bin125
Lineage: Archaea; Methanobacteriati; Methanobacteriota; Methanomicrobia; Methanocellales; Methanocellaceae
Description: tRNA-Arg
Rfam family: tRNA
About the family: Transfer RNA (tRNA) molecules are approximately 80 nucleotides in length. Their secondary structure includes four short double-helical elements and three loops (D, anti-codon, and T loops). Further hydrogen bonds mediate the characteristic L-shaped molecular structure. tRNAs have two regions of fundamental functional importance: the anti-codon, which is responsible for specific mRNA codon recognition, and the 3' end, to which the tRNAs corresponding amino acid is attached (by aminoacyl-tRNA synthetases). tRNAs cope with the degeneracy of the genetic code in two manners: having more than one tRNA (with a specific anti-codon) for a particular amino acid; and 'wobble' base-pairing, i.e. permitting non-standard base-pairing at the 3rd anti-codon position.
Source: RNAcentral
GCCCGCGUAGUCAAGCGGACACGACGCGAUGCUUCGGACAUCGCGGCCCCGGUUCGAUUCCGGGCGCGGGCGC